AUGCUCACUAUGGCAGCACAUAUGCUAAAAUUGAAAUGUUUCAGAAAAGAUUAGCAUGUCCCCUGUGCAAGGAUGACAUGCAAAUUUGUUAAACAUUCCAUACUUUU
Molecule: small nuclear RNA, 107 nt
Organism: Dromiciops gliroides (monito del monte)
Lineage: Eukaryota; Metazoa; Chordata; Mammalia; Microbiotheria; Microbiotheriidae
Source: RefSeq, a predicted model, not a curated record